CCUCCAGCUCGGCGAGCGCGCCGACGCCCGCGUAGCCGCCGCCGACGAAGACGAAGGUCAGGGCGGCGUGCCGCAGUUCGGGGUCGCGGGUGGAGGA
RNAcentral lists this transfer RNA (97 nucleotides) under Kitasatospora phosalacinea. RNAcentral describes it as "tRNA-Gly". Lineage: Bacteria; Bacillati; Actinomycetota; Actinomycetes; Kitasatosporales; Streptomycetaceae. The record is from RNAcentral.